Molecule: long non-coding RNA, 418 nt
Filed under: Chinchilla lanigera (long-tailed chinchilla)
Lineage: Eukaryota; Metazoa; Chordata; Mammalia; Rodentia; Chinchillidae
Description: lncRNA (ENSCLAG00000023546.1)
Source: RNAcentral
GCCGGGGUCCUUGGGCUCCCGGAUGGGAGGAGGAGCGAGAAAGCCACUAAGGGCUCUUUGUGGGCUUAAUUUCAAGAGUGAGCUCUGUGCCCAAGGCGGAGAACAGACAGAGGAGGCAGUCUCCUGGGGUCCUCCUGCUUUCCCUCCCUGUUAAUCCGUCCUCCCUGGAUUAGUCAGAACGACAUCUGGUCAACCUCACCUCAAGUCCUCCGUGCCUCUUCAGGAAUCGAACUCACGACCUUGUGCUUGCCAGGCAAGCACUUUACCGCUGAGCUAAAUCCCCAGGCCCAGAUCCUCUCCCAAGUGAAAGCAGCCCCAGAGGUGAACCAUCCAGCGGCCAGGAAGCUGGCAGUUCUGGUGACACUGGGCAGGUGAGAUGAUAAGGUUUGCCAGUCCAGAAGUGCCAAAGACUAGAGUU